GCCAGGCACGGUGGCAUGUGCCUGUAGUCCCAGCUACUUGGGAGGCUGAGGUGGGAGGACUGCUUGAACCCAGGAGUUCUGGGCUGUGGUGCACUAUGCCGAUUGGGUGUCCACACUAAGUUCAGCAUCAAUAUGGUGACCUCCCAGAAGCGGGGGACCACCAGGUUGCCUAAAGAAGGGUGAACUGGCCCAAGUUGGAAAUGGAGCAGGUCAAAACUCCCGUGCUGAUCAGUAGUGGGAUCAUGCCUGUGAAUAGCCACUGCACUCCAGCCUGGGCAACAUAGCAAGACUCCAUCUCU
RNAcentral lists this signal recognition particle RNA (299 nucleotides) under Cebus imitator (Panamanian white-faced capuchin). RNAcentral describes it as "Metazoan signal recognition particle RNA (ENSCCAG00000013649.1)". It matches the Rfam family "Metazoan signal recognition particle RNA". From Rfam's summary of the family: The signal recognition particle (SRP) is a universally conserved ribonucleoprotein. Lineage: Eukaryota; Metazoa; Chordata; Mammalia; Primates; Cebidae. The record is from RNAcentral.